This 252-nucleotide ribosomal RNA is filed under the name uncultured bacterium. RNAcentral's name for it is "partial 16S ribosomal RNA". It matches the Rfam family "Bacterial small subunit ribosomal RNA", at positions 524 to 775 of the family's 1533-position model. The record is from RNAcentral.
UACGGAGGGGGCUAGCGUUGUUCGGAAUUACUGGGCGUAAAGCGCGCGUAGGCGGACCUGCAAGUCGGGGGUGAAAGCCCGAGGCUCAACCUCGGAACUGCCUUCGAUACUGCGGGUCUCGAGUCCGGGAGAGGUGAGUGGAAUUCCUAGUGUAGAGGUGAAAUUCGUAGAUAUUAGGAAGAACACCAGUGGCGAAGGCGGCUCACUGGCCCGGUACUGACGCUGAGGAGCGAAAGCGUGGGGAGCAACAGG